Non-coding RNA from Arachis ipaensis, 289 nucleotides. Lineage: Eukaryota; Viridiplantae; Streptophyta; Magnoliopsida; Fabales; Fabaceae. The record is from RefSeq and is a predicted model, not a curated record.
UUCCCCGCCCUUGCUGCCGUGCCAUCAAAAUCUGCUGCCAUGGCUGCCGGAGCUCCGGGCUGAGUUUCUACCACUUGAGACCCUGCUGCCACCGUGUUCCACUGCCGUUACCGUCACCGGGGUUUUUGCUCGCGAUUGUCACUUGGGGUUACUGACGGAGCCACUGCCGGGUUGAUAGGGAGCUGCGACUGCUUCGUUUUGUGAUUUCAGAGUUAGAAUCCGGUUUGCUUAUGCCACUUGUAGCGGUUUCUGCUUUCGAGAGAGCAAGCCGAGUCGGGUUCUGAUUGUC